CUUCUUUAUUCUGUUCCAAUUGCUACAAAAUUGGCUUGAUUUUCUAUUUCGUUGUUGAUGAUUUUAUUGUUUGCAUGGAUGUUGUUUCUGGUUGAGAUUUAUGUGGUUAAUGUUGCAGAAAUAGGAAAGGAAGAUGAAGUAUCGGGAAAUAUUGGUUCUGGUUCUAUGUUUGCUUGGGUUUGUUCUUGGAGCGGUGUUUGAUACAGUAGUCGGGGAAAUUGCAAUUAUUACGAACUGAACCAAGUUCCACAACAGGGCUGAUCAUAGUUGCGCCAGUUGAAGAUUCAAAAUCCACGUGUUGGGUGUUCUUGAUAUUGCUUGUAGAAUGAUUGAAGUCAUAUCAAACUGAAAGCUAAGCGAUUGUGUAGAAAGUCAGACGAUCGUUGAAGGUUUGAGAAGGCGUUUAAGAUUUCUUAUUUAAGUUUUGUAUUAGGAUCUUGUUUCAUGUACCGUUGUAGAAUAUAUAAAAAUAAUAUAAGAUUCCAUUUUGUGUAUACAAAUGUAAAAGACAAAUAUUAUAGUUUCUAAAAUAAUAUUAAUUUUAUUGAUUUA
This is a long non-coding RNA of Cucumis melo (muskmelon), 552 nucleotides long. RefSeq lists it as uncharacterized. NCBI's taxonomy places the organism in Eukaryota, Viridiplantae, Streptophyta, Magnoliopsida, Cucurbitales, Cucurbitaceae. The record is from RefSeq and is a predicted model, not a curated record. The transcript is spliced from 2 exons.